CAAAGGCUAUAGUGGGAAUUAUUUUCUUUGGUCUGAAAGGGAAAAUAUUCAACUCUUCACCAUGAACUGGAAUUAUUGCUGCUGAUAUACAGUUUAGGAGCAUUCCUAUUCCUGGGCUCCCUGAGAGGGUCUCAGCUGUCAGCCAGAUGGUUCUGAGGCCCAGGGCCUGCAGCUACCUCUGUAACCAGUUCCUUCCUCCUUGCAACAUGUGUUUCCUAGCCAAGUGUAAAAUGUCUUGAGAAGUACAAAAAUGAUAGAAGAUGUGAAAGAACUCUGAGAAACGUAGAAGAAACACCAAUGAAAGAUUGGAGAUGAAAGACUGCAACGUGGAAGCCAAGCCAUACAUUAAGAAAGAUGGACAGACAGUGUUGGAAAAAGAACAGCAACUCCUGGGUACAAGAUGACUGUUCCCUAGAAAUGCUGGUUGGGUAAUCAGUAGUCUGACUAAUGUGGAAGAUCACAGCCCAGUAAAAAUGUGUUAUGGCUGAGUGUCUUGCAGUGCAAGCUGGUGCGAAUUAAGUGCUAAACACAUAAAAUAAAUAUAUGAAACUAGUUGUAUCUGCUGUAACUCACACCGCUGCAGGAGCUUUUAAAAGUUGCUAAUAAAAUAAUAAUACAUUUUA
Molecule: long non-coding RNA, 623 nt
Organism: Marmota flaviventris (yellow-bellied marmot)
Lineage: Eukaryota; Metazoa; Chordata; Mammalia; Rodentia; Sciuridae
Source: RefSeq, a predicted model, not a curated record